RNAcentral lists this ribosomal RNA (309 nucleotides) under uncultured bacterium. Its description in RNAcentral is "bacterial SSU rRNA". It matches the Rfam family "Bacterial small subunit ribosomal RNA", at positions 28 to 334 of the family's 1533-position model. The record is from RNAcentral.
GACGAACGCUGGCGGCGUGCCUAACACAUGCAAGUCGAACGGAAGUAAGUGCUUCGGUAUUUACUUUAGUGGCGAACGGGUGAGUAACGCGUGAGGAACCUGCCUUUCAGUGGGGGACAACAGUUGGAAACGACUGCUAAUACCGCAUGACGCUUCUUAGGGGCAUCCCUGAGAAGUCAAAGCUUUAUGUGCUGAAAGAUGGCCUCGCGUCUGAUUAGCUAGUUGGUGGGGUAACGGCCCACCAAGGCGACGAUCAGUAGCCGGUCUGAGAGGAUGAACGGCCACAUUGGGACUUGAGAUACGGCCCAG